CCUCCCUCCCUCCCUCUCGCUUCCGCCGCCGACGAUCGCCAAUGGAAGCGGCCGACCUCGUUCCUUUCCUCGACGCUAAUCGCGUUCCGGCUCCCCGAUUCUUGACGUCGUCUGGGAUGCGGAUGCGUUCUUACCGUGGUUUGUUUCUGUUUAGGCGGUGGGGAAAGGUGCAAGAAUCCGAUCGGGAGACGGUGAAAACACUGGUGGCCGUCCAUCGACGACCUUUGACCACGAUUGGACCGAAUCCGAUCUUGUCUUCAGCUUUCAGCGUGGCAGCGAUUCGAGCCAGGUUGAUGUUGAGGCCGAAGGGGUUUCUAGCUGCAGCUAAUCGGCCGCGAUAUGCGGCCGCGGGCCAUCAGAUGGUGUUGCUGCAGAAGCAGGGAUAGGAAUGAUGAUGCUAAUUGGAAAUGAAGAAUAGUGGAAGCUCAUGUUCAUGGGAAGACUCUGCAGAUGCUUUGAAGCAAGAAAGCUGGUUGUCUGCCGGAAGAGACGGUCACAUGGUAAAUAGACACUGAACCUGUUCCCGGUUACUCAAAUUCCAAUGAAAUGUUACAAUGGACAUGGAGUGUAACAUCAGAGAGACUGGAGCAUACUCUGUUCCCUGGAGCCCCCAUGCAUCCGAGAAGCCAAUAAUUUCCUGAUGCAUCUGUUCAGGCCCGACAACACCGAUAGGAAUAUCACGUGGAGUUUGAUGAGCUUUCUGGGCCUGUUGCCUUCAUCACCUUCCCUGUCACCUGCUUCUACUGUGUCUUCGAUCGAUGCGGCCACCGACGCGUCGCCCUUUUUUCUUGAUUUAAACGAUGAAUGCGGCUUCUUUGAGAUAAGAGGCCUUGUUGGACUGCAUACAGUUUGAUCCUGUUCCUAGUUUGUCAACAUCUCUUAGUGGCCCGAUAAACAUGUAAGUCUAUGAUGCAUGGUGUUGCAGGACUAUGGUAACAUCUGAAGGAGGAGCGAGGACUCUGUCCACAACCUCUACCUUAUCUACAGAUCUCUGAGGUCAUGUCAUCGCAGAGUUUCUCCUAAUAAAAACAAUGUGGUAGCCUCUGAAAUCUGGAACUCUGCAGUGGCCGUAUAUGGCACCAUUUACCUGCUCCAUGUGGUUUCCACAAUGCUUGACAGCCAUUAGCACAGACCACACUACGGGGACUGAUCUUAAAGGUUGCCAUAUAUUGGAAGAAAAAUGAAGUCUCAUCUGUUCUGUCAAUAAUUGCAAACAGAUCUGUGGAGCCAAGACAUCUAAUCUGAUGGGACAUCUCAUAAGUAGAAGCAUAUGCUUGUCAGUAGUAUCAGCUUGUUCUAUAUAUUCUCUUUCCCCAGCAGCUUCAACAUGAUAUAUGGUGGUGGGGACGUUAGUCCAAAAAAAGAAAUAUGUGCCAAUAAUGCAUACAUGUCUGAUGUGUAUAAGCUUGACUAGGUCCUAAAUCAGUCUUGUUUGCUAACAUGGGAGACGGCAUCAGAGGAAAGCAGAACACAAAAUAAGAACAAGGUGGUGUGGAAGCUUAGCAGAUCAAAAACCUGCAAUUGGAAAUGAGUGGUGAAAGCUUUUUGAUGCCUCGGUGAGCUGUUCAAAAUGUCACUGUCGAAAGGUAUUUAGCAAAAUCUUGCUAUUUGUUUUGCACGUAAUUUUGGACUGUAGCUACGAAAAGUCUUUCUGGUCCGGCGUGCUGGAGUGGUAGUCUGAAUGAAUAUUUUGUUUCCUUGCAGUGGUAAUUGAAAUCAA
Molecule: long non-coding RNA, 1720 nt
Organism: Musa acuminata AAA Group (dessert banana)
Lineage: Eukaryota; Viridiplantae; Streptophyta; Magnoliopsida; Zingiberales; Musaceae
Exons: 6
Source: RefSeq, a predicted model, not a curated record